This 163-nucleotide long non-coding RNA is filed under the name Coturnix japonica (Japanese quail). RNAcentral describes it as "lncRNA (ENSCJPG00005002130.1)". The record is from RNAcentral. Lineage: Eukaryota; Metazoa; Chordata; Aves; Galliformes; Phasianidae.
UCGCUAUGGGGCAGGGAAGUAUGGGGGUCGGGGCUCUGGGGCACAGGGCUAGGGGCACGAGCUUUGGGGCACAGAGCUAUGGGGGCUCGGAGCUAUGGGGCACAGGUAUGGGGCUCUGUCUAUGGGCACGCUAUUGGGGCACGGCGAUGGGGCACAGAGCUAU